AGAACGAACGCUGGCGGCAUGCCUAAUACAUGCAAGUCGAACGAACUCUUUCGGAGUUAGUGGCGCACGGGUGCGUAACGCGUGGGAAUCUGCCCUUGGGUUCGGAAUAACAGUUGGAAACGACUGCUAAUACCGGAUGAUGACGAAAGUCCAAAGAUUUGUCGCCCAGGGAUGAGCCCGCGUAGGAUUAGCUAGUUGGUGAGGUAAAGGCUCACCAAGGCGACGAUCCUUAGCUGGUCUGAGAGGAUGAUCAGCCACACUGGGACUGACGACACGGCCCAGACU
RNAcentral lists this ribosomal RNA (285 nucleotides) under uncultured soil bacterium. Its description in RNAcentral is "partial 16S ribosomal RNA". It matches the Rfam family "Bacterial small subunit ribosomal RNA", at positions 26 to 337 of the family's 1533-position model. The record is from RNAcentral.